UCUCAAUGAUUUGAAUUUUUUAUUUCCCCCACACCCAAAUUAACUCCCCUACAUCUAACCCUAUCUGCUCAAUUCUCCCGUUCCCAAUCGAUCUAUGAUUCCUCUCCACCUUUUCCCCCUAAAUUGAUCAACGAAAAUUAGUGUCUCGAUCUAUAUCUCUGGUGGAAACCGUCUUCGUUAAUUAAGAUAAGUUCAAUCUCUCUUCUUGAUUUCUUUUUAUUUCCAUUCGAUUUAGUUCUGAAAUUUUCUGUUGUAAGUUGUUUUGUUUAGUGUGGUUGAUUUUAUAUCUAGAUAUUUGGAGACUGUUAGGUUUAUUUGUAGUCUUUGCACACAACCUGUCUGAUGAAAUGCUACAUAGAAAAAAGCAAGAUAUCUUAAAUUGAAUCCUAAUCGUCCGCAGGUGUCCGCAGGUGCGCCUUGCGUCUUUGAGAACAUAGGUUUGGCAUAUGCAGUACAUUCUCUUUAUGAACGUAUUAUUUAUUUUAUGUAGAUCAGAUUGUUAGUGAUGCCAUUGAUUAGUAUUUGGGUUUUAUUCAUUGUUGAAUGAUUCAUAUUCUGGACUGGUCGUUGCUAGAAUAACAUGUUUAAGUUUGAUACUUGGACUUCUUUGGAGUGUCAAAUUAUUUGGUAUGCUCUACUUAUAUUCUAAAAGGACCAUAUUUGUGUUUCAUGUAUUAAUUAAACUGCAAGUAUAGUUGUCUUAUUAUGUGAACUAUACACUAUGAUUUUUUUCAUGUAAGCAUAAUAACAAAUAAGUGAUUUGGGUAACAGGUCAAAACUGGACAGGUUGAGUUGAGCUAAAACAUUUUUACUGAAUUCAUACCAACAUUGGCACAAGAUCAAAGCUGAAAUUAUACUGAACUUAACCAUUUUUAUUGGACUAUAAUGUAAGUGAGAAAACAUAAAAGUGAGGUGUGAAGACAGUAUGGGAUUUCAAAACUUGAUUGUGUCACCUCUACCAUCAGCUCCAACCUUAAUAAGAUCGCCACUUGUUUUGCUCCGUCCUGGACGUCGAACUUCCAACGGAGACGAUGCGACGGGAUGAAGACGGAGGGGGGCGGCAUGGAGGUUGGAUCGGCGCCGAGGGAGGACGGGCUGGACGACGCAGCCAUACCGUGCAGCCUAAGAGCUGAUGUUUUCUUAUCGUGGGCCUUAAAUGAUGCACCAACAGCGAGCGUGGCCCAUUAGAUGUCAAUUAGUGGCGAAUAGCUGUCUUUCGUUAUACCAAUUGAUUCAAAUUUCCAAAGUAAAAUAAAUUUCAGUUUCUAUUGAAGGUAAUGGCCGUGUAUGCUUCACGAAGUGGUGCAGCCAACAUAAGGGUUAAACACAUCUGGAUUAACGCUAAUUGUCCACGUCAGCCAGGGGUACUGAAUGCGGCUACUAUGUGAUGAAAUUCAUGAAGGAGAUAACUUACGAAGGAGUUGAAAUAUUUGACAAUGAUAAUGUUGGGAAAGGAGAAGAGGAAUACUCAGCUGUGGAUAUGGAUGGCAUUCGCGAAGAUUGGUCGACUUAUGCAGUUACCUCUAUUUUUAAGUGACUAAUCGUAUUUUAGGUGUUGACCAUGUAUUGACAAACAAUUCUUUUUUUUAUGUUAAUGUUAAAAUAUUUGUAGUAUACUUAUGAUAAUAUAAUGGAAUUGUUUUGAUA
Long non-coding RNA from Helianthus annuus (common sunflower), 1647 nucleotides. RefSeq lists it as uncharacterized. Lineage: Eukaryota; Viridiplantae; Streptophyta; Magnoliopsida; Asterales; Asteraceae. The transcript is spliced from 4 exons. The record is from RefSeq and is a predicted model, not a curated record.